RNAcentral lists this ribosomal RNA (2397 nucleotides) under human gut metagenome. Its description in RNAcentral is "bacterial LSU rRNA". It matches the Rfam family "Bacterial large subunit ribosomal RNA", at positions 14 to 2430 of the family's 2925-position model. The record is from RNAcentral.
AGGGCGCAUGGCGGAUGCCUUGGCUCUCGGAGGCGAUGAAGGACGUGAUAAGCUGCGAUAAGCUUUGGGGAGGUGCAAAUGACCUUUGAUCCAGAGAUUUCCGAAUGGGACAACCCAAUAUCUUGAAGAGGUAUUAUCCAACGUUGUUGGAGGCUAACGCAGGGAACUGAAACAUCUUAGUACCUGCAGGAAAAGAAAAUAAACAAUGAUUCCCCCAGUAGUGGCGAGCGAACGGGGAACAGCCCAAACCAUCCAUGUUACGGCAUGGGUGGGGUUGUAGGACUACGCCGUUGCAUGAAGACAUCAGAGAAGAACUUUCUGGAAAGAAAGACCAUAGAGCAUGACAGUUGCGUAUUCGAAUGUUGUCGAAGCAUAGUAGUAUCCUGAGUAGCGCGGAGCACGAGGAAUUCUGCGUGAAUCUGCCGGGACCAUCCGGUAAGGCUAAAUACUCCCGAGAGACCGAUAGCGAACCAGUACCGUGAGGGAAAGGUGAAAAGCACUUCGAACAGAAGAGUGAAAUAGUUCCUGAAACCGUGCGCCUACAAGCGGUCGGAGCUCGUUAAUGAGUGACGGCGUGCCUUUUGCAUAAUGAACCUACGAGUUGCCUUUGCCGGCAAGGUUAAGUGUGACGACACACGUAUCCGAAGCGAAAGCGAGUCUGAACAGGGCGUAUAGUCGGCAGUGGCAGACGCGAAACCAAGUGAUCUACCCUUGGCCAGGUUGAAGGCUGGGUAACACCAGCUGGAGGACCGCACCAAUAAGCGUUGAAAAGCUUCUGGAUGAGCUGAGGGUAGGGGUGAAAGGCUAAUCAAACUUGGAGAUAGCUCGUACUCCCCGAAAUGCAUUUAGGUGCAGCCUUGCGGGUUACUGAUGUGAGGUAGAGCGACUGAUAAGAUGCGAGGGCUUCACCGCCUAUCAAGUCUUGACAAACUCCGAAUGCGCAUCAGUUCUACCGCAGGAGUGAGGGCAUGGGUGCUAAGGUCCGUGCCCGAGAGGAGAAGAAUCCGGACCACCUGCUAAGGUCCCGAAAUGACAGCUAAGUUAAACUAACGAAGUCUGACUGCUAAGACAGCUAGGAUGUUGGCUUGGAAGCAGCCAUUCAUUUAAAGAGUGCGUAACAGCUCACUAGUCGAGGAGUCGGGCGUGGAUAAUAAUCGGGUAUCAAGUUGUCUACCGAAGCAGUGGGAUCAUUGAUAUGAUCGGUAGGGGAGCAUUCCAGUCGGCGUCGAAGGCGUACCGUGAGGUAUUCUGGAGCGUCUGGAAAAGCAAAUGUAGGUAUAAGUAACGAUAAAGGGGGCGGGAAACCCCCUCGCCGAAAGACUAAGGUUUCCUGAUCAACGCUAAUCGGAUCAGGGUCAGUCGGGUCCUAAGGCUCAGCCGAACGGCGAUGCCGAUGGCAGAAACGGUUAAUAUUCCGUUACUACCUUCAGGAGUGACGUGGAGACGCAGUAGUGACAGUGCCGCCAUCUGACGGAAUAGAUGGUUGAAGGGUGUAGGAGUCGAUCAUGGCAGGCAAAUCCACCAUGAGAUCCGAACCUGACAGUAUGCCGCGUCCUUCGGGACAAGGCAAUAGUGCGCGUAAGCAUGCUGCCGAGAAAAUCCGCUAAACUUAAUCCUGCAGGUACCCGUACCGCAAACGGACACACGUAGUCGGGAUGAAUAUUCUAAGGCGCUUGAGUGAUUCACGGUUAAGGAACUAGGCAAACUGACCCUGUAACUUCGGGAUAAAGGGUCCCUACCCUUUUAUGGGAGGGCGCAGAGAAUCGGUCCAGGCAACUGUUUAACAAAAACACAGGGCUGUGCCAAAUCGAAAGAUCCAGUAUACAGCCUGACACCUGCCCGGUGCUGGAAGGUUAAGAGGAGAUGUCAUCGAUAAGAGAAGCGUUGAAUUGAAGCCCCAGUAAACGGCGGCCGUAACUAUAACGGUCCUAAGGUAGCGAAAUUCCUUGUCGGGUAAGUUCCGACCUGCACGAAUGGUGUAAUGAUCUGGACGCUGUCUCAACCGUGAGCUCAGUGAAAUUGUAGUAUCGGUGAAGAUGCCGAUUACCCGCGAUGGGACGAAAAGACCCCGUGAACCUUUACUAUAGCUUAUCAUUGAAUCUGGGCACGUGAUGUGUAGGAUAGGUCGGAGGCUUUGAAGCAGGUACGCCAGUAUUUGUGGAGCCGCUGUUGAAAUACGACCCUUUAUUUGUUUGGAUUCUAACCCGUGGAACGGGGACAUUGAUUGGUGGGUAGUUUGACUGGGGUGGUCGCCUCCAAAAGCGUAACGGAGGCUUCUAAAGGUGCCCUCCGGCCGAUUGGUAACCGGCCUUAGAGUGUAAUGGCAUAAGGGCGCUUGACUGGGAGACUGACAAGUCGAUCAGGUAGGAAACUAGAGCAUAGUGAUCCGGUGUUUCC